Aphis gossypii (cotton aphid) is the source of this 679-nucleotide long non-coding RNA. RefSeq lists it as uncharacterized. The record is from RefSeq and is a predicted model, not a curated record. NCBI's taxonomy places the organism in Eukaryota, Metazoa, Arthropoda, Insecta, Hemiptera, Aphididae. The transcript is spliced from 3 exons.
GGAUGUUGUUCUGGAAUUUGCCUUGUUUUCCCAUUCAUUUUCAUCUGCUUCACUGGUUGGCUCUUCAUCUGGUGGCGAGCACAACGUUUGGUCAUAGUCACCAGUGAUCAAGCCUACAAAGAAUGUGCAUGCCAUGCGCGCAGAUAUAUUUCAGAUGGAAAAUUGAAUAUUAUUGGUGUUAAAGAGGUCAAAAGAAAGAAGAUUCCAGCAGUUUUCAAAAAUAUCGGAAAAAACCACAAAAAAUGAUGGAAAAACGGACAUUUUUACGCAAAAUCAGUUUUCGACAAAAUUGAUUUUUUAUAAAGCUGCAACUCAAAAAAAAAAAUCACUGUAAAGUAAGGUGAUUGACCCUUAAGCUGGAGUCUACUGUACAGUACAUAAUAACUAAAACCAGUUUUCAGUUACUGACAAGGAUGAGUGAAGUAUGCUGCUGGAUAAAUACAGCCGGUCUACUUGAAUUACCAAUCAAAUGAAUAAUACACUCUGGGCCCGAAGACAUUGAAUAAAUCGAUUCUUAUUAUUCUUACGAUUCAUUUUUUGAAUAGGAAAGCGUUAAAAAUAAAAUAAAAGGAACAACAAUAAUUAUUAUACUAUUAUAGAAUUAUAUAAGAUCAAUUAAUAAUAAGACAAAAAGAAUAUUAUGUAUUUAUAUGUAUUAAUUAUAAAAACAAAUUAUAUA